AUGAGACGCUGGCGGCAGGCCUACACAUGCAAGUCGAGCGCGCCCUUCGGGGUGAGCGGCGGACGGGUUAGUAACGCGUGGGAACGUGCCCUUCUCUAAGGAAUAGCCACUGGAAACGGUGAGUAAUACCUUAUACGCCCUUCGGGGGAAAGAUUUAUCGGAGAAGGAUCGGCCCGCGUUAGAUUAGAUAGUUGGUGGGGUAACGGCCUACCAAGUCUACGAUCUAUAGCUGGUUUUAGAGGAUGAUCAGCAACACUGGGACUGAGACACGGCCCAGACUCCUACGGGAGGCAGCAGUGGGGAAUCUUGGACAAUGGGGGCAACCCUGAUCCAGCCAUGCCGCGUGAGUGAUGAAGGCCUUAGGGUCGUAAAGCUCUUUCGCCUGUGAUGAUAAUGACAUACAGGUAAAGAAACCCCGGCUAACUCCGUGCGCACCGCGGUAAUACCGAGGGGGUAGCGUU
RNAcentral lists this ribosomal RNA (461 nucleotides) under Phaeobacter sp. S23(2010). Its description in RNAcentral is "bacterial SSU rRNA". It matches the Rfam family "Bacterial small subunit ribosomal RNA", at positions 33 to 541 of the family's 1533-position model. Lineage: Bacteria; Pseudomonadati; Pseudomonadota; Alphaproteobacteria; Rhodobacterales; Roseobacteraceae. The record is from RNAcentral.